Molecule: ribosomal RNA, 166 nt
Filed under: uncultured bacterium
Lineage: Bacteria
Description: partial 16S ribosomal RNA
Rfam family: Bacterial small subunit ribosomal RNA
Source: RNAcentral
CAGCAGCCGCGGUAAACCGUAGGAGGCAAGCGUUAUCCGGAUUUACUGGGCGUAAAGCGCGUGUAGGCGGUUUGGUAAGUCGGACGUGAAAGUUCCCGGCUCAACUGGGAGAAGCCGUUCGAAACUACCAGACUAGAGGGCAAUAGAGGAAGGUGGAAUUCCCGGU